GGGGAAAAUUUUUUUGCGUGUGUGUACUUCUAACUGAUCUGUAUAUCAUCUUUUUUGGUUAGAAAUAUAAGUUCUUUAUUUUGCUAUUGGAUGUUUUAGGAGGAGAGUUAUUCCAUGUGUAUAUGAAUAAAGGAGAGGUUUUUCCUCUGUGAGUUCAGCUGCCAUCACUAAAAUAGAAGAGGAACAUGAACAUGUACAGGAUGAUUACUAACUGCGGUGCUAGGUAUGUAUUCAUUCGAUUGCUACAUUUUUCUGCCCCUCGAGUUGCCUUUUUGAUUUCUUUUUUCUUAACUAUUCUUUUUCCCCCAUUUGACUGAUGUUGAAGGUGUUCGGUGAAUUUUAUAUAUUGGUUAAUGAUUUUAUGGUCUAU
Molecule: long non-coding RNA, 370 nt
Filed under: Citrus sinensis (sweet orange)
Lineage: Eukaryota; Viridiplantae; Streptophyta; Magnoliopsida; Sapindales; Rutaceae
Description: long non-coding RNA (CSIN_LNC001256)
Source: RNAcentral